UGGACCUUGACCCCUUUUACCGGAGAUUCGACUUCCUCCUUCCAUUGGAAUCAAACUCUGGCCGUGAACAGAGCUUCAGCUGCAUUACGGCCGCUUAUCACUCUGCGCCACGGAGGAUCUUGGAGACAUGGUCGAAGUGUAUAAAAUCGUGCAUGGCAUGGAGAAACCGGACAGAGAAAAAAGCUGUUGUCAAACAAAUGAAGCCAAACGCUUCCUGUGACCGUUCUCCGACACUUUUUCACCGACACUUCAGGAAUACUAAGCUGCUGACUCUGACAUGGAUUCACACGCUUACCCGCAUAUUGACUCCUCUCUGGCUUAUCUGCCGAAAUGAGGGCAUGUUUGCUGAUCAACACACAUUCUCCGUUGAGCGGGCUGGAACCGUUUUCAGGAGUUUGCACUGUCAACAUAUUUUGCUCAUUCUGUUAAAAGAAAGAGGGGGUCAACUGAGGCUAACAGAGGAAACUAGAACCCGGAUUUUAGCACACUCAGCAGAAAAGACCACGCUGGGCUGAAAAAUACAUUGCCAGUUUGAUUCAGGCCUCGCUCAACCAGAGGGCUUGUUUUGGUCCUGUGUGCUGUUUUCCCUGCAGAUGGGGAAAGUGGCACCUUUCAAAAUUCUCCCCUCUGCACAACUCUGAGCCUGCCUUCAAUGGUAAAAUGUGUUGCUCCAAUGAAAGGAUAAGGAGCCUGAGGUGGGCUGUGGACCACUGGGCCUGGCUGGUUGAUUCUGGUGGGAGUUGGGAGCCCACCAACAUCUGGAGGGCCACAGAGUCCCCAUCCUUGUCUUAAGAAAAACAAAACAGGGUGCAUAUGUCAGUUACAAAUCGGGAUGGGUGCAUCUGUCUGUUUCAUCUCCCCUGAUCUCUCGUUUUCCCUCUCCUAAAUUCAGGUUUGCACAUUUCUGCAGCAACUGGCUCUAAAACAAUCCUCAUAAAAAUUUGCCAUCA
Long non-coding RNA from Rhineura floridana, 950 nucleotides. RefSeq lists it as uncharacterized. The record is from RefSeq and is a predicted model, not a curated record. The transcript has 2 exons. NCBI's taxonomy places the organism in Eukaryota, Metazoa, Chordata, Lepidosauria, Squamata, Rhineuridae.